GGAAGGGUGGCUGAGUUUGGCUAAAAGCACCUGUUUGCUAAACAGGCGUCCUCGGGGACACGCGGGUUCGAAUCCCGCUCCUUCCG
RNAcentral lists this transfer RNA (86 nucleotides) under Anaerolineae bacterium. RNAcentral describes it as "tRNA-Ser". It matches the Rfam family "tRNA". From Rfam's summary of the family: Transfer RNA (tRNA) molecules are approximately 80 nucleotides in length. Their secondary structure includes four short double-helical elements and three loops (D, anti-codon, and T loops). The record is from RNAcentral. Lineage: Bacteria; Bacillati; Chloroflexota; Anaerolineae.